RNAcentral lists this ribosomal RNA (355 nucleotides) under uncultured bacterium. Its description in RNAcentral is "bacterial SSU rRNA". It matches the Rfam family "Bacterial small subunit ribosomal RNA", at positions 1037 to 1390 of the family's 1533-position model. The record is from RNAcentral.
GGUGCUGCAUGGCUGUCGUCAGCUCGUGUCGUGAGAUGUUGGGUUAAGUCCCGCAACGAGCGCAACCCUUGUUCACUGUUGCCAGCACGUUAUGGUGGGGACUCAGUGGAGACCGCCGGGGUCAACUCGGAGGAAGGUGGGGAUGACGUCAAGUCAUCAUGCCCCUUAUGUCCAGGGCUUCACGCAUGCUACAAUGGCUGGUACAGAGAGUGGCGAGCCUGUGAGGGUGAGCGAAUCUCGGAAAGCCGGUCUCAGUUCGGAUUGGGGUCUGCAACUCGACCUCAUGAAGUCGGAGUCGCUAGUAAUCGCAGAUCAGCAACGCUGCGGUGAAUACGUUCCCGGGUCUUGUACACAC